This 253-nucleotide ribosomal RNA is filed under the name uncultured bacterium. Its description in RNAcentral is "partial 16S ribosomal RNA". It matches the Rfam family "Bacterial small subunit ribosomal RNA", at positions 524 to 776 of the family's 1533-position model. The record is from RNAcentral.
GACGAACCGUGCGAACGUUGUUCGGAAUUACUGGGCGUAAAGCGCACGUAGGCGGCUUGGUAUGUCGGGUGUGAAAUCCCCGGGCUCAACCUGGGAACCGCAUCCGAAACUGCCUUGCUCGAGUAUGGGAGAGGGAAGUGGAAUUUCCGGUGUAGCGGUGAAAUGCGUAGAUAUCGGAAGGAACAUCAGUGGCGAAGGCGACUUCCUGGACCAAUACUGACGCUCAGGUGCGAAAGCGUGGGGAGCAAACAGG